AACGGAAGCUCCAGGAGCGCGGUGGAGCCUGGAGUGGAGGGCGAGGGUCCCACCGUGACCCGCCUGGAGGGCAGCCCAGCUCUGGGACGCGAAACCGCCUACGACGGUGCCGCAGCAGUUCCAAGAGCCUCUGAGUUCCUGCCUUUUUUCAUCUCUGAAUCCCCACCAUUGGCCUACAUUGGGAGUGGGGCGACCUAUGGGGAAAGCAAGGUCCUGAGACUCUGAGCAACUUCCCCAAGAUCACACAGCUAGGAAGUGAUGAAGCUGAGACAAGACCAGCCAGCACUUACCCACCACGGUGUGAUGCUGACGUUAGAGGACAAGGACAUGAAGGGAUUCUCCUGGGCCAUAGUCCCAGCCUUAACCUCCCUAGGCUACCUGAUUAUACUGGUGGUCUCCAUCUUUCCCUUCUGGGUGCGACUGACAAACGAGGAGUCCCACGAAGUCUUUUUCAGUGGCCUAUUUGAGAACUGCUUCAAUGCCAAAUGCUGGAAGCCUCGACCCUUAUCCAGAUCUCGCUUUGUCACCCAGGCUGGUGUGAUCACAGCUCACUGCAGCCUCCAACUCUUGAGUUCAAGCGAUCCUCCCACCUUAGCCU
This 598-nucleotide long non-coding RNA is filed under the name Homo sapiens (human). Its description in RNAcentral is "HSALNT0342240". The record is from RNAcentral. Lineage: Eukaryota; Metazoa; Chordata; Mammalia; Primates; Hominidae.